This is a long non-coding RNA of Brassica napus (rape), 1145 nucleotides long. RefSeq lists it as uncharacterized. NCBI's taxonomy places the organism in Eukaryota, Viridiplantae, Streptophyta, Magnoliopsida, Brassicales, Brassicaceae. The transcript is spliced from 4 exons. The record is from RefSeq and is a predicted model, not a curated record.
UCACUAAGUCGAGCUCCUACAGUCUUCCACGGGUCCAGCUUUACUAGACGCUGCUUUUCAUUAAAGGGAAUCAACGAUUCUUUUGGGUUACCGUUAAUUUUGUGGGCUUUUGGCAUAGCUGAAUAAACCCAGCCCUAAUUAUCUUCUAACAUGUCCAAUGGAAAACUAGGGUUCAUCUCCGCCAUUGGAGAGAUCAAGUUGCUGAGUUCGAGUUGAUGAAUCUGUUCGUAGGUUUCGAUCACGUCGUCUGAUCUUAUUUCUCAUCAACCGAAACGCUCUCAGUUGCAGAUUCGUCGCCUUAAACCUCUUCUUAACUCCAUUAACCAUAUCUAGCCUUGAAUGCGAAUUUCCCUUCUGUAAGGCGGUGUCACUGAGCGUAUAAAAAGUUGCUGCGGUUAUGGGAGGCGAGAGACGUCAGGCGCAGUGGGGAUUUCUUCUCGCUGACAAAGGGAAACCGGAACUGUUACGGGCUACCUUCAACCGAUUCUUCUGGAUUUCUUCUUAGAUCGUUAUGGGCGUCGAUAUGCUUCUCCUUGAUGCCAAGGAUAUUACUGAAGAAAACAAAUCUUAUCCAUGCCCAACGGAGUGGUUAUUCGGUGUUGAUAUUGUAAAGAAAUAGGAAGAGUCUUCACGGUUUCACAGCAAGCCCAAUAUACUUUGUUUUUGGAUCAUCUGGAGAUUCCUUUGAGAAGAAAAGGAAUAGAGUUCUUUUGGUUCGAUGGGAAAUUGGAUCAGAAGUCUGAAGAGAAGGUGCUGAAGGAUUCAAUGAAACCAUCACAAAACAGUUCUGCUUCUGUCUCUGAAACCUGGAGUCGAACUAAAUCUAACCGCAUCUUCACACGUCUUCUUAACGUUACCAUUUCUCUUCAACCUUACGUUAAAAUUCUUCUUGAUUAUGGAGAGAUGAUGGCUGCUCUGUUUUUUGAAAUGCUUAUGAUCCAUCAGCGGAAGAGCAAUCGAUCAUAUGAGAAUUAAUCGCGUAGACAUAGCAGCAACACUGUUUAGAGUUCCGUGAGUGAGAAAACGAUCAAAAAAAAAAAAUAGUUAAUCACAACUAACUAAAUAUUAAUAUCACAACAUCAAACAUUUUAAAUCAGAAGAAGUGAUAAAAAUGAAUAAUUUCGAAAAUAAUAUUUCAUACCAAA